This 367-nucleotide ribosomal RNA is filed under the name uncultured Methanosaeta sp. Its description in RNAcentral is "bacterial SSU rRNA". It matches the Rfam family "Archaeal small subunit ribosomal RNA", at positions 971 to 1338 of the family's 1478-position model. Lineage: Archaea; Methanobacteriati; Methanobacteriota; Methanomicrobia; Methanotrichales; Methanotrichaceae. The record is from RNAcentral.
CCGGAUUAGCUGGGAGUGGUGCAUGGCCGUCGUCAGUUCGUACUGUGAAGCAUCCUGUUAAGUCAGGCAACGAGCGAGACCCACGCCCACAGUUGCCAGCGUACUCUCUGGAGUGACGGGUACACUGUGGGGACCGCCGCUGCUAAAGCGGAGGAAGGAAUGGGCAACGGUAGGUCAGUAUGCCCCGAAUGUCCCGGGCUACACGCGAGCUACAAUGGUUGGUACAAUGGGUAUCUACCCCGAAAGGGGACGGGAAUCUCCUAAAACCAAUCUUAGUUCGGAUUGAGGGCUGCAACUCGCCCUCAUGAAGCUGGAAUCCGUAGUAAUCGCGUUUCAACAGAACGCGGUGAAUACGUCCCUGCUCCUU